Terriglobus roseus is the source of this 72-nucleotide transfer RNA. It matches the Rfam family "tRNA". Rfam says of the family: Transfer RNA (tRNA) molecules are approximately 80 nucleotides in length. The record is from Rfam. Lineage: Bacteria; Pseudomonadati; Acidobacteriota; Terriglobia; Terriglobales; Acidobacteriaceae.
GCGGGAGUAGUUCAGUGGCAGAACGUCAGCUUCCCAAGCUGAAUGUCGCCGGUUCGAUCCCGGUCUCCCGCU